ACGCUCGACACCUACGGGAGGCAGCAGUGGGGAAUAUUGCACAAUGGAGGAAACCCUGAUGCAGCGACGCCGCGUGGAGGAAGAAGGUCUUCGGAUUGUAAACUCCUGUUGUUGGGGAAAAAGAGGAUGGUACCCAACAAGGAAGUGACGGCUAACUACGUGCUAGCAGCCGCGGUAAUCUGAGCGGGCUGGCAAGGC
RNAcentral lists this ribosomal RNA (198 nucleotides) under uncultured bacterium. RNAcentral's name for it is "partial 16S ribosomal RNA". It matches the Rfam family "Bacterial small subunit ribosomal RNA", at positions 328 to 539 of the family's 1533-position model. The record is from RNAcentral.